RNAcentral lists this unclassified non-coding RNA (211 nucleotides) under plant metagenome. Its description in RNAcentral is "partial contains small subunit ribosomal RNA, internal transcribed spacer 1, and 5.8S ribosomal RNA". The record is from RNAcentral.
UUUCCGUAGGUGAACCUGCGGAAGGAUCAUUCAUAAUAAAGUGUUUUAUGGCACUUUUUAAAAAUCCAUAUCCACCUUGUGUGCAAUGUUAGAUCUCGUCAAUCUUGGCGAGGUUUUUAUACAUCAACUCAUUCUUUAACUAAUUUGUCUGAAAAAUAUUAUGAGUACUUAAUUCAAAAUACAACUUUCAACAACGGAUCUCUUGGCUCUC